This 3846-nucleotide long non-coding RNA is filed under the name Mustela putorius furo (domestic ferret). Its description in RNAcentral is "lncRNA (ENSMPUG00000028312.1)". Lineage: Eukaryota; Metazoa; Chordata; Mammalia; Carnivora; Mustelidae. The record is from RNAcentral.
AUGGUAACGAAACACAAGUGGCUACAAUCCUACAAUCCAGUAUUACGGGUGCCCAGGGGCAGUAACAAUCUGCCAGGGGUGAGGUCCCAAAAGACUUUCCAGAGAGGGUGCAGCCCAGCUAAACCCCGAGGACGAACAGGAGCUGUCCAGGCAGAAAGGAGGGGAGAAAAGACCCUCUUUGCCGAGAGAGAGACCCGCAUGAAGAGGCUGAGGCCGGGAGUGCAGGGUACGAAGGGCUUCGGUUUCCUCAUCUGUGAAACGGACAUGAAAGCAAUGUAUCUCAUUGGGAGGCAACAAGAAGCAAACAAAAUCUACCCAGUCCACAAACAACAGCCAUCAUCAUUACUGGGUCCUGUUCUUGAGCGUAACCGAAUGACCUGGGACCCUGGGCAGACCAGCUUGUUUCAUAUCCCUAGCAUCUGCACUGUGGCUCCUUCUACCAAGAAAACCCUUCCUGCCUUGUCACUUUGGCAAACACCUGGCCUUCUUCCCUUCUUCCAGCAAUGUCCUCUCCUCUGUUCACAAGGUUUCAAGUCCCUUCCUCCCUCUUCUGGACCCCAGUGGCACUGAGCAAACCCCAGGUGAACUCAGGAAGAAGCCAAGGCUUGUCCAUCAUCAUUUCCCAGCACCCAGCUCAGGGCCCGGCACGCCGUCGAUCACAGCAAAGCGCUGCUCAGCAGAGAGAGCAAGAAGCCCAGACCAACUUCAAGUACUCCUCUUUUUCAGAUGAGGCUCAGAGUUAAGGGACUUACCUGAGGUCCCUCACCUAGCAGGUGAUGGACAUGGCGCCGUAACCUGAAGUCACAAGGCUGCAAGCCUAAAUCCCCAGUGAGGGAGGGGAGGAGGCCUCGGAUGCCCCCAGAGGUGUGGGCUUACUGAGCAAUAUCUGGGUGAUUCAGGGGACCCCAGACAGAGGCCCUGCCUGGCUGUCUCCGGUCCCGGGGUCUCUGGCCUGGGUGCCACCCUCAUGAAACCCCAUGCCUGUAAGAGCUGAUGCACGAUGUUUCUAGAAAGGGAUGGGCAGCCCUGGAGAAAGGACUGAGAGUGAAGAAACCAUAGGAGAGCCUCCUCCUCAAAGCCAAGGUCCUGGGAAGACAGGGUCCAUGUGCCCCUCUGGCCUGACUGUUGCACAGGCAGGUGGGAAGAACACAGCUCCCCAGCCACAAAGACAGCUGCUAAUCCGGCUCUGCCGGCCGCUUGCUCUGACCUUGGGUCUGUCACGUCACUUCUCUGACCCUCGGUUUUCUCAUCUGUGUCAAGGCCAGGUCUGUCUUGUUCAUAACUGCACUGUUGCUUGGCACAGUACUUGUCACAUGAUGAGUACUCAAUAAAUAUUUGCUGAAUGAAUGAAUAAAUGAAUGAAUGAAAGGGGACAAUGACGCUGACCUUGCAGUAUCCCGAGUCAAAGACCUUGUCUAAAAAGUCUGGCAAAAGAAGGGCCCUUGGGCCUCACCCACUCUUCUUGCUGUUCCUCAGGGAGCACUGUUCCUAGGGCAGCUGCCCUAGACCACCGUGCCCCCUCCCCAGAGGUCAGAGAUGGAUUCCAAAAGGCAUUCGUCCUUCUCGCCCAGGCAGCUCUGUCUUGAGAAGUGGGGCUCAGGGAAGCAUCUGGAGAAGCCAGGCAGCAGAUGGACAAAGACAGCACGUGCCCCAUGGGCAGGAAGCAGCCCCAGGAGCUGGGUUCAGAGCCCAGCCCUGGCAGCCCUGCACGCUGCUGGAGGCUGGGGGCCAGGUGCCAGGAUUGGCUGGCACCACCAGCCCUCUGAAAAGGCUGGACAGAGGCCCUGUGGAACAAAGAGAGUCUGCCAACAUCCGGAGCCUCUCCUGUAGUCCCUUCCACCUGGGCCAGUUUGAUCCCAGCCCUUCCCCAUCCUUGAGCCCUGACCCCACAACUUGUUAGAAGACAGUGAGAGCUCUGGACUCUGAUCCUGUCUCAAACAUGAAUUCAUAGGCCAGUUCUCCCAAGUUCAGCUGUCCCAUCCAAAAAUGGGGGUAAUCCCCUUUUUUUAAAAAAAAGAAAAGAGGUUCCCCCCUAACAUGGGGCUUGAACUUACAACAUUGAGAUCAAGAGCCACACGCUUUACUGAGUCAGCCAGGCACCCCAAUGAUCCCUACUUUGAGAUGAUGUUUAGAGAAUUAUUUUAACAAGGUAACAGAGGCAAAGCAGGGACGGUGGCACACAGUGAAGCUCUGUACAGGGCAGGGCUGGGCCCCUGGAGAACGUUCCUGCUUUCAGCAGGGCCAGGGAAGGCCCAGGGCGGAAUCCGCACCCACAUGGCCACCUGGGCCAGGCCCUGCCUCCCAGCAGCCCAUUUUCGGCAGCGUCAUGAGGAGGGCAGGGCCGUCCAGACCUCAGGCCUCUGCCAAAUGCCCCCAGCAGCCCCUUGCCCGCCUCUUUCCCAGCCAGGAGGCAGUGGCAGCGCCUGUACCUGUGGGUCAGGCUGCUGUAUCACUUACAUGUCACCUGGGCUAAGAACAGCAAGGCCCUGUUCUCCAGUGAGAGCGGCCCAACCAGCGCCCCGGCUGCCCCGUGGCUCCUGUUACCCAAACAAUAACACCCAGACGCCUGGCACUUCCAUGCAGUGGGGGAGGGGGAGAACAGGCAGCAGCGCCCAGGGCUCUGCACCUCUCAGUCCCAGGAAGCAUGAAGCUACGACCCAGCACUGGCCGCUGGAGGAACAGAGGGGCAGAGAGGCUAAGGACCGGCUGAGGGUCACACAGUGUUUCCAAGGUGAAGCUCAGAAAUCACGAUGCCCCCAGUCCUAGGAAAUACACUAGUCUUCUCCUCUCACAGAACUCAGAUGCAGUUGUACUCAAAACUGAGUCGAGUUUCCUGUUUAAACCUGGUCCCCUGCCCCAGGAUUCCCCAAAGGGAAGCAGGAAGUAGUGCCCUGCACUGGGAAUUGAGCUCCUGGGUGUCUGCCCUUCCUGUGAGCAUAACCCAAGGUAAGUCCCUAGGUUAAGUACUUCCCCGCCUCCCUUCCUCUAGGGAGGCCCAAGUCACAGGGGCAUGCCAGGGCAAAGGCAUCCAUCUCUGAGCGCCCCCCCAACCAAGCCCUGAUGCCCCAGGCCUUGUGGGGGGGGGGGUACUGCAGAGGGCAGUGUUCCUCACCUCAGAGGGUGAGUCAGCGAGAGAACCUCCUAGAGCCGUGCAGGGCCUGUAAAAACCCCAUGGCAGGGAUCCCAGAGCAAUUUACUCCAAAUUGCACCUUCAGGUUGGUUACCUAAUCCUGCCGCGCCCACCAUCCAAUAGCCAGUGUCAGCUACGACCAUCCCUUUAAAGGGGUAGCACACCCUGGGUGCUGGGGACCUGGGGUCUUCACUCUAAGCACAACCUGUGGCCCUGGGAGGCAGGGUACUUGGUGGUUGCCCCAGGUAAGAGGAGGCAGAGGAGGGGAGCUAGGCUAGGGACCAAAGCCAAGAGAAAAUCACCUUGGCUCCCCUGCUCACUGAGGUCUUCACACCCUCCCAGUAUACCCCCACAUCCCCUCUGGAAAUGGAGUUUCAUCUGCUUCCUUCCCAGCAUGAGGCUGAGAGGAAAGUUUUCUUAAUCUGCUGGUUCAGGGCCUUGACCUUGACCCUGGGGGUCAAAGGGCACAGGAAGAGCUGCCCUUCUGCAUCCUAGGGCUUGGCACCACAGAAUCCUCGGAGGAGAGCAGAAGCUGCUUCUGGGAGAGGCUAGGUGACAGAGGCCAAAAACCCCAGGGGCCCAGCCCUUCCUAUGGGAGGGCUCACAAGGAAAAAGGCAGGCACCAAGGUCCUCCAUGUCUCCUGGAAUAAUCCUCACAAGGUCUAAGGGUUUUUCCCCACUGUCUUCUCCACAGCUUGGGGUAGGGGACACAUGUG